CUGAAGGAACGUUGAAGACGACGACGUUGAUAGGCCGGGUGUGUAAGCGCAGCGAUGCGUUGAGCUAACCGGUACUAAUGAGCCGUGAGGCUUAACCUU
RNAcentral lists this ribosomal RNA (99 nucleotides) under Escherichia coli. RNAcentral's name for it is "partial 23S ribosomal RNA". It matches the Rfam family "Bacterial large subunit ribosomal RNA", at positions 2827 to 2925 of the family's 2925-position model. Lineage: Bacteria; Pseudomonadati; Pseudomonadota; Gammaproteobacteria; Enterobacterales; Enterobacteriaceae. The record is from RNAcentral.